CCCUACGGGGUGCAGCAGGCGGAAUGAUAAGUCAGUGGUGAAAUUCAACGGCUCAACUGUUGACCUGCCAUUGAUACUGUCAAUCUAGAGUAUAGUUGGAGUGGGCGGAAUGUGUCAUGUAGCGGUGAAAUGCUUAGAUAUGACACAGAACACCGAUCGCGAAGGCAGCUCACUAAGCUAAAACUGACGCUCAUGCACGAAAGCGUGGGGAUCAAACA
This 218-nucleotide ribosomal RNA is filed under the name uncultured prokaryote. RNAcentral's name for it is "partial 16S ribosomal RNA". It matches the Rfam family "Bacterial small subunit ribosomal RNA", at positions 565 to 774 of the family's 1533-position model. The record is from RNAcentral.